Camellia sinensis is the source of this 420-nucleotide non-coding RNA. NCBI's taxonomy places the organism in Eukaryota, Viridiplantae, Streptophyta, Magnoliopsida, Ericales, Theaceae. The record is from RefSeq and is a predicted model, not a curated record.
UCUUGCUGGUUGCAUUCUUAUCUAGAGGGAUUUGAGAGCAAAAAAAAAAAAAAAAAAGGAACUUCACAUUGCUUUUGGGCAAUCCGUGAGUGAGAGAGAGAACCAAAUGAGGGAAGGAAGCAAUUUCAGCUCAAGAAGAAGGAAAACUAAGGGAAGAAAAGCUAGGAGGAACAAGGGAAUUAGAAGGGAAUCAAUUAAAUUUCUUGAGAUUAAAGUUUAAGGUUACGCGCCAUUGUCUGUCUGAUUUACCUGAUAUGUCCAGUCUGUCUGAUUUGCUUCUGCAGCUACCUGUGAUCAGGCGCGUGACCAGGCUUAGAGGCAUCUGCCUAGAAUCUGUUUUUGUCAGCCAACCUAUGUGCCUCCCGUGGAGGUUCUGGAUAUGUGAAGUGAUUAUGGCAAUGUGAUUUAAAGUUUAAGUUU